RNAcentral lists this ribosomal RNA (556 nucleotides) under uncultured bacterium. Its description in RNAcentral is "bacterial SSU rRNA". It matches the Rfam family "Bacterial small subunit ribosomal RNA", at positions 8 to 563 of the family's 1533-position model. The record is from RNAcentral.
AGAGUUUGAUUAUGGCUCAGGAUGAACGCUGGCGGCGUGCUUAACACAUGCAAGUCGAACGGGGUACCCAUGACAGAGGCUUCGGCCAAUUGAUUGGAAUACCUAGUGGCGGACGGGUGAGUAACGCGUGAGCAAUCUGCCUUGGAGUGGGGAAUAACAGUUGGAAACAGCUGCUAAUACCGCAUAAUACAGUUGUGUCGCAUGGCACUGACUGUCAAAGAUUUAUCGCUCUGAGAUGAGCUCGCGUCUGAUUAGCUAGUUGGUGAGGUAACGGCUCACCAAGGCGACGAUCAGUAGCCGGACUGAGAGGUUGGCCGGCCACAUUGGGACUGAGACACGGCCCAGACUCCUACGGGAGGCAGCAGUGGGGAAUAUUGGGCAAUGGGCGCAAGCCUGACCCAGCAACGCCGCGUGAAGGAAGAAGGCUUUCGGGUUGUAAACUUCUUUUCUGAAGGACGAUAGUGACGGUACCUCAAGAAUAAGCCACGGCUAACUACGUGCCAGCAGCCGCGGUAAUACGUAAGUGGCAAGCGUUAUCCGGAUUUACUGGGUGUAA